RNAcentral lists this ribosomal RNA (1032 nucleotides) under Escherichia coli. Its description in RNAcentral is "partial 23S ribosomal RNA". It matches the Rfam family "Bacterial large subunit ribosomal RNA", at positions 159 to 1230 of the family's 2925-position model. The record is from RNAcentral. Lineage: Bacteria; Pseudomonadati; Pseudomonadota; Gammaproteobacteria; Enterobacterales; Enterobacteriaceae.
UGAAUCCAUAGGUUAAUGAGGCGAACCGGGGGAACUGAAACAUCUAAGUACCCCGAGGAAAAGAAAUCAACCGAGAUUCCCCCAGUAGCGGCGAGCGAACGGGGAGCAGCCCAGAGCCUGAAUCAGUGUGUGUGUUAGUGGAAGCGUCUGGAAAGGCGCGCGAUACAGGGUGACAGCCCCGUACACAAAAAUGCACAUACUGUGAGCUCGAUGAGUAGGGCGGGACACGUGGUAUCCUGUCUGAAUAUGGGGGGACCAUCCUCCAAGGCUAAAUACUCCUGACUGACCGAUAGUGAACCAGUACCGUGAGGGAAAGGCGAAAAGAACCCCGGCGAGGGGAGUGAAAAAGAACCUGAAACCGUGUACGUACAAGCAGUGGGAGCACGCUUAGGCGUGUGACUGCGUACCUUUUGUAUAAUGGGUCAGCGACUUAUAUUCUGUAGCAAGGUUAACCGAAUAGGGGAGCCGAAGGGAAACCGAGUCUUAACUGGGCGUUAAGUUGCAGGGUAUAGACCCGAAACCCGGUGAUCUAGCCAUGGGCAGGUUGAAGGUUGGGUAACACUAACUGGAGGACCGAACCGACUAAUGUUGAAAAAUUAGCGGAUGACUUGUGGCUGGGGGUGAAAGGCCAAUCAAACCGGGAGAUAGCUGGUUCUCCCCGAAAGCUAUUUAGGUAGCGCCUCGUGAAUUCAUCUCCGGGGGUAGAGCACUGUUUCGGCAAGGGGGUCAUCCCGACUUACCAACCCGAUGCAAACUGCGAAUACCGGAGAAUGUUAUCACGGGAGACACACGGCGGGUGCUAACGUCCGUCGUGAAGAGGGAAACAACCCAGACCGCCAGCUAAGGUCCCAAAGUCAUGGUUAAGUGGGAAACGAUGUGGGAAGGCCCAGACAGCCAGGAUGUUGGCUUAGAAGCAGCCAUCAUUUAAAGAAAGCGUAAUAGCUCACUGGUCGAGUCGGCCUGCGCGGAAGAUGUAACGGGGCUAAACCAUGCACCGAAGCUGCGGCAGCGACGCUGAUGCGUUGUUGGGUA